CGUUCACUUUAUUGAUAUAUGGGCAAUUUUUUAUUUCAUUGUCAGUAUGGUUUUUAUGCAUGUCCUACCCAGUUCAUAGGGUAUUUCUUAAACAUUUAAUGUGUUUAGUUUAAACGUUUGAUUUUGUCUUUGUAGUAGACUUUAUUGGCUUUCGGAAUUUAUACAAAUUAUUAGUGUUACUCAAUUUUUUUUAAUAAAAUUACUUUAUUUAUGA
Melitaea cinxia (Glanville fritillary) is the source of this 214-nucleotide long non-coding RNA. RefSeq lists it as uncharacterized. The transcript has 3 exons. The record is from RefSeq and is a predicted model, not a curated record. NCBI's taxonomy places the organism in Eukaryota, Metazoa, Arthropoda, Insecta, Lepidoptera, Nymphalidae.